AUGGCCGAUUACACAUUUUUUAGAUCAAGCACGAGCAAUGCUAUUCAACAGACGAUGCCAGAUACCACACAUCGGUGGUGCAAGUGGCAUGUGCUUCGGAAGGCGAAGGAGCACCUCGGGCCGCACUACACUAAACGCAGUGAUUUUAGGGCUACGUUACACAAGGUGGUUAAUGAGAUGCUCACUAUUGACGAGUUCGAAGAGGCCUGGGCCGGACUACUUGACAGAUACAAGCUUCAUAACAACACGUUUUUGAUCCAAAUAUUUGAGGUUAGGCACAAGUGGGCGAAGCCUUAUUUUAGUGGCAAAUUUUGCGCAAAGCAAACCAGUACGCAAAGGAGCGAAAGCGCGAACCAUCUGUUGAAGGGCUACAUCCCGCCUGCAUGCCCGAUGAACCUUUUUGUGAAGCAGUACAGCAAGCUGCAGUUUGAUCGGGAGGCUGAAGAAGGGUUCCAAGAGAAGAGAACCAGGCUGGGUGGUGUAGUUCUCGGAUACAAUUUCCCAUUGGAGGAGCAUGCGAGCCAAGUAUAUACCCGGACGAUGUACGAGAUGUUUGGUCAGGCUUUGUAUCGGGCAGGUAGGUAUGAUGUUGAGGAAGUAGAGCGGGGCGUGAGGUACCACGUGAGACACGUUGAAGCCGAGAAACGGGAAAAGUGGUGCCGCGAGAUGCAUGUGGUCUAUGUUCACGAUGGAGGGGCUCGUUACACAUGCGAAUGUGGGCUGUUUGAACACAUGGGGAUGCUCUGUUGUCAUGCUAUCAAGGUUUUGAUUCAUUUGGGGGUCAGGAAGAUACCGCGUGCUCAUGUCAUGAAGAGGUGGACUAUAGAUGCCCGAGACAACUUGCCGCUGCACCUCCUCCAUUAUCAAAAAGAUCAAGGGCCUCCGCGGUUGUCAUCAUACAGACAUACGGCGCUACACCUCACUGCCCUCGAGUUUGUGCAGCUUGGUGAUAGCAACGUUGAUGCGUUCGAUAGAGCAAUUGACAUUUUGAAUGCAGGCAAGGCGGAGCUGUCAGUUCUGGCAGCGACCAAGGAUGGCAAAAGUUUGGUGGACCAAACUCAGGUUGGUGACUCAGCCAGUCCGACGCAUGCUCUGGAUGGUGGCGGUUCUCGCGUAGAUGAUAUGUCCUCUGAGAUGUUCGUCUCCACCGAGUGUGGUCUUAGCUCUGUUUCUGGGGGUGCUGGGUCUAGUAGUUCAUUGUCGAUGCUGCUAGCGCCGGAUAGGAAGAAGCAAAAGGGCAGACCGACUACGGCGAGGGACAAGCCUGGAUACGAGGUCCAAGACAAACGUUCAAGGUUCUGUACGGUUUGUAGGGAGAAGGGGCACAAGAGCACGACGUGCCCCCGCAGGGGUGAUCUUCCAAAGAAGCCUCGCAAAAUUCCUACAUGUGGCAAUUGUGGUGUUGCUGGGCACAAGAAAACAAGUUGUUUCAACCCGGUGUUGCCGUUUGUGAAGAGUCCUCGAGACGGACCAGUCGAGUGA
RNAcentral lists this ribosomal RNA (1482 nucleotides) under Triticum aestivum (bread wheat). Its description in RNAcentral is "partial small subunit ribosomal RNA". The record is from RNAcentral. Lineage: Eukaryota; Viridiplantae; Streptophyta; Magnoliopsida; Poales; Poaceae.